UACAGAGGUCCCAAGCGUUGUUCGGAUUCACUGGGCGUAAAGGGUGCGUAGGUGGUGGGGUAAGUCGGAUGUGAAGUCUCCGAGCUCAACUCGGAAACUGCAUUGGAAACUACCCUGCUAGAGGGUCGGAGGGGGGACUGGAAUACUUGGUGUAGCAGUGAAAUGCGUAGAUAUCAAGUGGAACACCAGUGGCGAAGGCGAGUCCCUGGACGACUCCUGACACUGAGGCACGAAAGCUAGGGGAGCAAACAGG
RNAcentral lists this ribosomal RNA (253 nucleotides) under uncultured bacterium. RNAcentral's name for it is "partial 16S ribosomal RNA". It matches the Rfam family "Bacterial small subunit ribosomal RNA", at positions 524 to 776 of the family's 1533-position model. The record is from RNAcentral.